This 203-nucleotide long non-coding RNA is filed under the name Lathyrus oleraceus (garden pea). Its description in RNAcentral is "Pisum sativum (pea) long non-coding RNA (PSAT_LNC008021)". Lineage: Eukaryota; Viridiplantae; Streptophyta; Magnoliopsida; Fabales; Fabaceae. The record is from RNAcentral.
AACCCUCUUCAGUAUCCAAACUUCACACCACUAACACAACAACACUCUCAUAACUAUCCUUAUCGAAGACAUAUGCAAUUUGAACUGAAUCUUCAUUGUUUCUCCUGUACGGAUAAUCACUGAUGAAGUGAUCAAUUUUUUGACAAGUAAAACAUUUUAACCUCGACUUGUCAAACCUCUUUGAUUUGGACAUCCCUUUAUGC